AUUCAUCCUCUUCCACAAUUCUUUCUUCUUUCUCCUUCACGGAUCUGCACAUUCAUUACAUCGCUCGCAUUCUUUUUCUUUUUUUUUUUUUUCAUCAAAAGGCAUUGAAAUUCAGCUUGCUUCAGUGUCAAAAUUAAAAUUCUAUAGAGGAUUCGUCGUAUUUUCUGAUCUCUAUGCGUUUCAGUUUUCGUGAAUGAGAUGAGCACGGAUGUCGUUAGCGAUGUGGCGUCUCUUGACGUCGAAAUGUUGCAGCUGCAGGAGGUUUCUGCUUUUGCUCUCAAAACUAACGCCUAUUUCAUGGAGGCGCUCUUCGAACAAUGGUUAUCGCUUCCCGAAAGCAAUCGUUUGAUAACAUCAUUGCUAAAUGAUGCAAAGUCCGGUGCUCCCUUAAACGUGCCGGCGAAUAGCAAUAGUCCAAAUGCUUGCAAUAGUCCUUUGCCUUCCAUGUUUCCUGCAGGCACUGUUCCACCUCUUUCACCAAGAAGCACGUCUGGUUCCCCUCGCGUCGUGAAACAGAGAAUUGGUCCUUCUAAUUUGAGUUCUCCUCUGAAGGUUGUCAGUGAGCCAGUUAAAGAAUCCAUACCACAGUUCUAUUUUCAACAUGGACCUCCACCACCAAAUGACUUGAAAGAACAAUGCCUGUCUAGAAUUGAUCGGUUAUUCCGUGAUCACACAGAUGGGCUGCAGAUGCAUGAAUUCAAGCCUGUUACAAAGGAAGUUUGCAAGCUGCCAUCUUUUUUUUCCGCAGUUCUUUUCAAGAAGAUUGAUAAUGGAACUGGUGUUGUGACAAGAGAAGCAUUUAUUGAUUAUUGGAUUAAAGGCAACAUGUUGACCAAGGAUAUUGCAACUCAGAUGUACACAAUUUUAAAGCAACCACAGCUCAAUUACCUUACCAAGGAUGAUUUUAAACCCGUGCUACGUGAGCUUUUGGCAACCCAUCCAGGGCUAGAAUUCCUGCAGAGCACACCUGAGUUCCAAGAGAGAUAUGCUGAAACCGUCAUAUAUAGAAUAUAUUUCUACGUGAAUAGAUCGGCAAAUGGUCGUCUUACUCUGAGGGAGCUGAAGCGUGGAAGCAUAAUUGAUGCAAUGCUGCAUGCUGAUGAAGAAGACGAUAUCAAUAAGGUUUUAAGGUACUUCUCUUAUGAACAUUUCUAUGUUAUAUACUGCAAGUUUUGGGAGCUGGAUACAGAUCGCGAUUUCUUGAUAGACAAAGACAACCUUGUCAGAUAUAGUAAUCAUGCGCUCACCUAUCGAAUUGUCGAGAGAAUAUUUUCUCAGGUUCCAAGAAAGUUUACUAGUAAGGUUGAGGGAAAGAUGUGUUAUGAAGAUUUUGUUUACUUCAUACUGGCAGAAGAGGAUAAACCAUCUGAGCCAAGCCUUGAAUAUUGGUUCAAGUGCAUUGAUUUGGAUGGAAAUGGAGUUCUGACACGGAAUGAACUGCAAUAUUUUUAUGAGGAGCAAUUGCAUCGAGUGGAGUGCAUGGCCCAAGAGCGUGUGCUAUUUGAGGAUAUAUUGUGCCAAAUACUUGACAUGAUUGGACCUGAGGAUAAGACUUAUAUAACUCUGCGUGACCUGAAAGGUCGUAAACUCUCAGGACAUAUUUUCAAUAUCCUGUUCAAUAUAAAUAAGUUCAUGGCCUUUGAAACUCGUGACGCAUAUUUGAUUCGCCAGGAACGUGAGAAUCCAACACUAACGGAGUGGGAUCGUUUUGCUCAUAGAGAAUAUAUUAGGCUUUCAAUGGAAGAAGAUGUAGAAGAUGCCUCUAAUGGAAGUGCAGAAGUAUGGGAUGAAUCAAUGGAGGCCCCCAACUGAUAUUUUUUAGUUUAGCGGGCUCGCUCAAAUGAAUUGGAGCUUGAAUGGACUAGUUCAAAUUUUGAUUGCCAAUCACACUUGUUUUAUCAAGUUAUUCCGACUAACGUUCCUUUUUGACAUCAGAAUAUCAUGUAGCUAUGCAUCAACAUAAUUUAAUGCCCAAUAAUGGAAGGACUCGCCAUUUGUUCGAAGACACUAGACUCGGAUCAAUUUUAAAGUGUGUCCUUCAAAUUUAGCCACGAGAAUGGAACAUUCCCAGCUUCUCUAAUAACUACGGAAUGUGUCUUUGAUUGAGGGGCACACAGGCACAGCAGCAACAACAUUGGAAUCAUGAUCGGGGAAGUUUUGUAGCUUGUACUAAUGAGUCUAUGUUAAAGUGAGGGCUGGUUUGCUAAGAGGUGAUUAACCAAGUUGAAUUAAAUUGACAUAGUUUAGUAUGCUUACCAUUAUUAGGGAGAUUUUCUGAUGGAUAAGUUUGUAGUUUACUUUUCGGUGGAGACCAAUUUUGCAGUUUUGCCUCGAAUGUGUCUUAAGAUUUCAGUUUUUUGUAGCCUAUGAUUCAGACAACCCUUCAGCAAAUAAUGUAUUUCUCCCCACCUUUUUCAGACCAAUUGAAGGAUUAUGUAAUGCUACUUGCUAGUUGCUACAUAAGAUCCAUUCUGCAUUAUUAGAUUUGUCUUUCAGGAUGCAUGCAGAGCAUUUAAGUUGACAUUGGAUUUUGUUUUUAUCUUGCGUUUUCUUCGAAGAAAACGUUGUUUCAUUUUCGAAUAAUAUCCUUUUAUUAAUAAU
Molecule: non-coding RNA, 2601 nt
Organism: Arachis ipaensis
Lineage: Eukaryota; Viridiplantae; Streptophyta; Magnoliopsida; Fabales; Fabaceae
Source: RefSeq, a predicted model, not a curated record